GAUGAACGCUGGCGGCAUGCCUAACACAUGCAAGUCGGACGGGAACCCCGGGAAACGGUGUUUCUAGUGGCGGCCGGGUGAGUAACGCGUAAGAACAUGCCCUUGGGUGGGGAACCACAGCUGGAAACGGCUGCUAAUACCCCGUAGGCUGAGGUGCAAAAGAGGGAAUACAUCAGAGGAGUGGCUCGCGUCUGGUUAGCUAGUUGGUGAGGCAGUAGCUUACUAAGGCGCUGGACAGUAGCUGGUCGGAGAGGAUGAUCGUCCACACUGGGACGGAGGCACGGCGCAGGGAACAACGGGAAGCAGGAGUGAGGAAGUUUCCGCAAUGGGGGGAGGGUGAAGAAGGCAAUGCGGCUGGAAGGUAGAAUGCUUACGGAACGAGAACUUCUUGUCCCGGAGAAGAAGUAAUGACGGUACCUGAAGAAUAAGCAUCGGCUAACUCCGUG
Molecule: ribosomal RNA, 446 nt
Filed under: uncultured bacterium
Lineage: Bacteria
Description: partial 16S ribosomal RNA
Rfam family: Bacterial small subunit ribosomal RNA
Source: RNAcentral